UACGGGGGGGGCAAGCGUUGUUCGGAAUCACUGGGCGUAAAGGGCGUGUAGGCGGUCAAGUAAGUGGGGUGUGAAAUCCCUCGGCUCAACCGGGGAACUGCGUCUGAGACUGGAAGGCUUGAAUCCGGGAGAGGGAUGUGGAAUUCCAGGUGUAGCGGUGAAAUGCGUAGAUAUCUGGAGGAACACCGGUGGCGAAGGCGGCAUCCUGGACCGGUAUUGACGCUGAGGCGCGAAAGCCAGGGGAGCAAACGGG
Molecule: ribosomal RNA, 253 nt
Filed under: uncultured bacterium
Lineage: Bacteria
Description: partial 16S ribosomal RNA
Rfam family: Bacterial small subunit ribosomal RNA
Source: RNAcentral